Long non-coding RNA from Harmonia axyridis, 307 nucleotides. RefSeq lists it as uncharacterized. Lineage: Eukaryota; Metazoa; Arthropoda; Insecta; Coleoptera; Coccinellidae. The record is from RefSeq and is a predicted model, not a curated record. The transcript is spliced from 2 exons.
CUGAAAACAGAUAUCCAAUGUAAAAAAAAAGGAUUGUUAUUGUAUCUUAGAAGUUAUUGUCAUCAACAAUAAUAUACCCAGUUGAAUCUAUGAAGAAAAUUGCCCAGAUGAAGAUAAAACUAAUUCCACUCACCUUAUAUUUCACCCAUUGUGAAUCCACAUCUUGAACAGGUGCUGCCGCUGCUAAAUAAAAAACAGCAAUGAGAACAAAACACAAUACAACUACUUUCAUUUUGAUGUCCAAAAAUAAUCAAUAUAUGUUAAUUUAGAGAUAAACUAUAAUUGUCUGCUUUGAAAGUUAUAAUAC